GGCGCAAGCCUGAUGCAGCCAUGCCGCGUGUAUGAAGAAGGCCUUCGGGUUGUAAAGUACUUUCAGCAGUGAGGAAGGCGGGUACGUUAAUAGCGUGCUCGUUUGACGUUAGCUGCAGAAGAAGCACCGGCUAACUCCGUGCCAGCAGCCGCGGUAAUACGGAGGGUGCGAGCGUUAAUCGGAAUUACUGGGCGUAAAGCGCAUGCAGGUGGUUUGUUAAGUCAGAUGUGAAAGCCCGGGGCUCAACCUCGGAAUUGCAUUUGAAACUGGCAGACUAGAGUACUGUAGAGGGGGGUAGAAUUUCAGGUGUAGCGGUGAAAUGCGUAGAGAUCUGAAGGAAUACCGGUGGCGAAGGCGGCCCCCUGGACAGAUACUGACACUCAGAUGCGAAAGCGUGGGGAGCAAACAGGAUUAGAUACCCUGGUAGUCCACGCCGUAAACGAUGUCUACUUGGAGGUUGUGGCCUUGAGCCGUGGCUUUCGGAGCUAACGCGUUAAGUAGACCGCCUGGG
RNAcentral lists this ribosomal RNA (511 nucleotides) under Vibrio sp. QPM_1_5. Its description in RNAcentral is "bacterial SSU rRNA". It matches the Rfam family "Bacterial small subunit ribosomal RNA", at positions 374 to 877 of the family's 1533-position model. Lineage: Bacteria; Pseudomonadati; Pseudomonadota; Gammaproteobacteria; Vibrionales; Vibrionaceae. The record is from RNAcentral.